AGUGAGCGGCAAAAGCUCAAAUUUGAAAUCUGGUACCUCUCGGUGCCCGAGUUGUAAUUUGGAGAGGGCAACUUUGGGGCCGUUCCUUGUCUAUGUUCCUUGGAACAGGACGUCAUAAAGGGUGAGAAUCCCGUGUGGCGAGGAGUGCGGUUCUUUGUAAAGUGCCUUCGAAGAGUCGAGUUGUUUG
Molecule: ribosomal RNA, 187 nt
Filed under: uncultured Saccharomyces
Lineage: Eukaryota; Fungi; Ascomycota; Saccharomycetes; Saccharomycetales; Saccharomycetaceae
Description: partial 26S ribosomal RNA
Rfam family: Eukaryotic large subunit ribosomal RNA
Source: RNAcentral